This 555-nucleotide ribosomal RNA is filed under the name Lactiplantibacillus plantarum. Its description in RNAcentral is "bacterial SSU rRNA". It matches the Rfam family "Bacterial small subunit ribosomal RNA", at positions 608 to 1163 of the family's 1533-position model. Lineage: Bacteria; Bacillati; Bacillota; Bacilli; Lactobacillales; Lactobacillaceae. The record is from RNAcentral.
CUCAACCGAAGAAGUGCAUCGGAAACUGGGAAACUUGAGUGCAGAAGAGGACAGUGGAACUCCAUGUGUAGCGGUGAAAUGCGUAGAUAUAUGGAAGAACACCAGUGGCGAAGGCGGCUGUCUGGUCUGUAACUGACGCUGAGGCUCGAAAGUAUGGGUAGCAAACAGGAUUAGAUACCCUGGUAGUCCAUACCGUAAACGAUGAAUGCUAAGUGUUGGAGGGUUUCCGCCCUUCAGUGCUGCAGCUAACGCAUUAAGCAUUCCGCCUGGGGAGUACGGCCGCAAGGCUGAAACUCAAAGGAAUUGACGGGGGCCCGCACAAGCGGUGGAGCAUGUGGUUUAAUUCGAAGCUACGCGAAGAACCUUACCAGGUCUUGACAUACUAUGCAAAUCUAAGAGAUUAGACGUUCCCUUCGGGGACAUGGAUACAGGUGGUGCAUGGUUGUCGUCAGCUCGUGUCGUGAGAUGUUGGGUUAAGUCCCGCAACGAGCGCAACCCUUAUUAUCAGUUGCCAGCAUUAAGUUGGGCACUCUGGUGAGACUGCCGGUGACAAAC